Non-coding RNA from Cinara cedri, 312 nucleotides. Lineage: Eukaryota; Metazoa; Arthropoda; Insecta; Hemiptera; Aphididae. The record is from the annotation of a GenBank genome assembly.
UUUCCCCCGUUUUAUUUUCCGGCAAACGAGUAUACACGGAGGAAAUUGGUGUUAAUUUAUUUCCGAAACGCGCGUUUGAUUCGAUCGUAAUGUUUAUUUUUUUUUUUUUUUUUUUUUUUGUACACAAAGAAAACUUGCCUACAUAUAACUAAUAAAAAACGAUCAUUAUAAAUACGAAAUUAUUGAAAUCGAAACGGGAUAAUAAAUUAUAAUAUGUUCGAUGUCGUGUACGUAAUAAUAGUUGCCAUAUGGAGUGUAUAUUAUAUUGGCUUAUUUCCCGGUUUUAAUACGCACGAUGUUCAUUUGCCCUCG